Molecule: ribosomal RNA, 301 nt
Filed under: uncultured bacterium
Lineage: Bacteria
Description: partial 16S ribosomal RNA
Rfam family: Bacterial small subunit ribosomal RNA
Source: RNAcentral
CAGCAGCCACGGUAAUACAAAGGGGGCUAGCGUUGUUCGGAUUUACUGGGCGUAAAGCGCACGUAGGCGGACUUUUAAGUCAGGGGUGAAAUCCCGGGGCUCAACCCCGGAACUGCCUUUGAUACUGGAAGUCUUGAGUAUGGUAGAGGUGAGUGGAAUUCCGAGUGUAGAGGUGAAAUUCGUAGAUAUUCGGAGGAACACCAGUGGCGAAGGCGGCUCACUGGACCAUUACUGACGCUGAGGUGCGAAAGCGUGGGGAGCAAACAGGAUUAGAUACCCUUGUAGUCCCUGUCUCUUAUCC